AUAAAUAGGAAAACAAAGAAAGAGGAACUAGGGAUUUGGCUUCUUCAUCAUUCAAAACAAACUCCCUCCUCUUCGUUCCCUUCGACGGUGCCGGCAAUAGCCUCAACUUCAUCUCCGAUUCUCAACCUCAGUGUCACUCUAUCGUGGCGAUUUUGCUCUCCGAUUCAAAUAAUAGAUACGAAAAUAGUGUACAUGAUGAGGAAGAGGAAUUGCUUACCUACCAGAGAACUUCAGUGGUUCUUCAACAGCCGCGAAGACAAGAAAUCUCAAACAGAUGAGGCUUGUUGGAAUUGCGGUCGUUGUUGA
Molecule: non-coding RNA, 306 nt
Organism: Vicia faba (fava bean)
Lineage: Eukaryota; Viridiplantae; Streptophyta; Magnoliopsida; Fabales; Fabaceae
Source: the annotation of a GenBank genome assembly